AUACGUAGGGUGCGAGCGUUGUCCGGAAUUACUGGGCGUAAAGAGCUCGUAGGUGGUUUGUCGCGUCGUCUGUGAAAUUCCGGGGCUUAACUCCGGGCGUGCAGGCGAUACGGGCAUAACUUGAGUACUGUAGGGGAGACUGGAAUUCCUGGUGUAGCGGUGAAAUGUGCAGAUAUCAGGAGGAACACCGGUGGCGAAGGGGGGUCUCUGGGCAGUAACUGACGCUGAGGAGCGAAAGCAUGGGUAGCGAACAGGAUUAGAUACCCUGGUAGUCCAUGCCGUAAACGGUGGGCGCUAGGUGUAGGGGUCUUCCACGACUUCUGUGCCGUAGCUAACGCAUUAAGCGCCCCGCCUGGGGAGUACGGCCGCAAGGCUAAAACUCAAAUGAAUUGACGGGG
This 398-nucleotide ribosomal RNA is filed under the name uncultured bacterium. RNAcentral describes it as "partial 16S ribosomal RNA". It matches the Rfam family "Bacterial small subunit ribosomal RNA", at positions 523 to 918 of the family's 1533-position model. The record is from RNAcentral.